RNAcentral lists this ribosomal RNA (253 nucleotides) under uncultured bacterium. RNAcentral describes it as "partial 16S ribosomal RNA". It matches the Rfam family "Bacterial small subunit ribosomal RNA", at positions 524 to 776 of the family's 1533-position model. The record is from RNAcentral.
UACGGAGGGUGCAAGCAUUAAUCGGAAUUACUGGGCGUAUAGGGCGCGUAGGCGGUUUUGUAAGUCAGAUGUGAAAUACUGGGGCUCAACCUCGGUGCUGCAUUUGAAACUGCAAGGCUAGAGGAUGGAUGGAGAGAACGGAAUUCCACGUGUAGCGGUGAAAUGCGUAGAUAUGUGGAAGAACACCGGUGGCGAAGGCGGUUCUCUAAUUUAUUCCUGACGCUGAGGCGCGAAAGCAAGGGGAGCAAACAGG